This 27-nucleotide non-coding RNA is filed under the name Homo sapiens (human). The record is from RNAcentral. Lineage: Eukaryota; Metazoa; Chordata; Mammalia; Primates; Hominidae.
UCGUUGCGGAUGGCCAGCUGGAGGUGA